This 402-nucleotide ribosomal RNA is filed under the name Verrucomicrobiota bacterium. RNAcentral's name for it is "Verrucomicrobia bacterium partial 16S ribosomal RNA". It matches the Rfam family "Bacterial small subunit ribosomal RNA", at positions 355 to 776 of the family's 1533-position model. Lineage: Bacteria; Pseudomonadati; Verrucomicrobiota. The record is from RNAcentral.
UGGGGAAUUUUGCACAAUGGGGGAAACCCUGAUGCAGCGACGCCGCGUGAUUUAGAGGGCCUUCGGGUUGUAAAAAUCUUUUGUAUGGGAAGAAAAUGACAGUACCAUACGAAUAAGGACCGGCUAAUUACGUGCCAGCAGCCGCGGUAAUACGUAAGGUCCGAGCGUUGUCCGGAAUCAUUGGGCGUAAAGGGUACGUAGGCGGAUAAGCAAGUUAGAAGUGAAAUCCUAUAGCUCAACUAUAGUAAGCUUUUAAAACUGCUCAUCUUGAGGUAUGGAAGGGAAAGUGGAAUUCCUAGUGUAGCGGUGAAAUGCGCAGAUAUUAGGAGGAAUACCGGUGGCGAAGGCGACUUUCUGGACUUUUACUGACGCUCAGGUACGAAAGCGUGGGGAGCAAACAGG